This 125-nucleotide small RNA is filed under the name Ewingella americana. Its description in RNAcentral is "RtT sRNA". It matches the Rfam family "RtT RNA". Rfam says of the family: This family represents a bacterial cis-regulatory element known as RtT RNA. The exact function of RtT is unknown although it is thought that it may be involved in changing the cellular response in relation to amino acid starvation. Lineage: Bacteria; Pseudomonadati; Pseudomonadota; Gammaproteobacteria; Enterobacterales; Yersiniaceae. The record is from RNAcentral.
CCAUGACCCAAACCGUGAUGGAGGCGAACCAGCUGCUGGUUCGAGCCGAGCGAAGCGAGACGACAACGCAACGCGUUGCCCGCAGGGUGAGGCCGAAGGCCGAAUCAAUCCAGCACGGCCCACCA